Molecule: ribosomal RNA, 908 nt
Filed under: uncultured Bacillota bacterium
Lineage: Bacteria; Bacillati; Bacillota
Description: bacterial SSU rRNA
Rfam family: Bacterial small subunit ribosomal RNA
Source: RNAcentral
UGGAUCCAGACUUUGAUUAUGGCUCAGGAUAAACGCUGGCGGCGCACAUAAGACAUGCAAGUCGAACGGACUUAACCCUUUGUUUACAUUGGGAGCGGUUAGUGGCGGACUGGUGAGUAACACGUAAGCAACCUGCCUAUCAGAGGGGAAUAACAGUGAGAAAUCAUUGCUAAUACCGCAUAUGCUAACAGUAUCGCAUGAUACAGUUAGGAAAGGAGCAAUCCGCUGAUAGAUGGGCUUGCGCCUGAUUAGCUAGUUGGUGGGGCAAUGGCCUACCUAGGCGACGAUCAGUAGCCGGACUGAGAGGUUGAACGGCCACAUUGGGACUGAGAUACGGCCCAGACUCCUACGGGAGGCAGCAGUCGGGAAUAUUGCGCAAUGGAGGAAACUCUGACGCAGUGACGCCGCGUAUAGGAAGAAGGUUUUCGGAUUGUAAACUAUUGUCGUUAGGGAAGAUACAAGACAGUACCUAAGGAGGAAGCCCCGGCUAACUAUGUGCCAGCAGCCGCGGUAAUACAUAGGGGGCAAGCGUUAUCCGGAUUUAUUGGGUGUAAAGGGUGCGUAGACGGAGGAACAAGUUGGUUGUGAAAUCCCUCGGCUCAACUGAGGAACUGCAACCAGAACUAUUUCCCUUGAGUGUCGGAGAGGAAAGUGGAAUUCCUAGUGUAGCGGUGAAAUGCGUAGAUAUUAGGAGGAACACCGGUGGCGAAGGCGACUUUCUGGACGAUAACUGACGUUGAGGCACGAAAGUGUGGGGAGCAAACAGGAUUAGAUACCCUGGUAGUCCACACUGUAAACGAUGGAUACUAGGUGUAGGGUGUAUUAGGCAUUCUGUGCCGCCGCUAACGCAUUAAGUAUCCCACCUGGGGAGUACGACCGCAAGGUUGCAACUCAAAUGAAUUGACGGA